RNAcentral lists this ribosomal RNA (1201 nucleotides) under uncultured organism. Its description in RNAcentral is "bacterial SSU rRNA". It matches the Rfam family "Bacterial small subunit ribosomal RNA", at positions 215 to 1455 of the family's 1533-position model. The record is from RNAcentral.
UCGCUUUGGGAGGAGCUCGCUUACUAUCAGCUUGUUGGUAGGGUAAUAGCCUACCAAGGCUAUGACGGUUAGGGGGUGUGAGAGCAUGACCCCCAGCAUUGGCACUGAAACACUGGCCAAACACCUACGGGUGGCUGCAGUCGAGAAUCUUCCACAAUGGGGGAAACCCUGAUGGAGCGAUGCUGCGUGCGGGAUGAAGGCCUUCGGGUUGUAAACCGCUUUUGUAGGGGACGAAAUUUUUGACGGUACCCUUUCGAAUAAGAGGUUGCUAACUCUGUGCCAGCAGCAGCGGUAAUACAGAGACCUCAAGCGUUAUCCGGAUUUACUGGGCGUAAAGCGUCUGUAGGGGGUUUAUUAAGUUCCAAGUAAAAUUUCAAGGCUCAACUUUGAAUUCGCUUGGAAAACUAAUAAACUGGAGUCUAGCAGAGGUGCAUGGAACUUGUGGUGUAGGAGUGAAAUCCGUUGAUAUCACAAGGAACACCAAAGGCGAAGGCAUUGCACUGGGCUAGCACUGACCCUGAGAGACGAAAGCGUGGGGAGCAAAACGGAUUAGAUACCCGUGUAGUCCACGCCCUAAACGAUGAAUGCUAAAUGUUCGGGGAUUCGGCCCCCUGGGUGUUACAGCUAACGCGUUAAGCAUUCCGCCUGGGAAGUACGGCCGCAAGGCUAAAACUCAAAGGAAUAGACGGGGAUCCGCACAAGCGGUGGAGCGUCUGGUUUAAUUCGACAGUAAGCGUGGUACCUCACCAGGGUUUGACAUCCCUUGACAGCCUUGGAAACAAGGUUUCCUUCGGGCAAGGUGACAGGUGCUGCAUGGUCGUCGUCAGUUCGUGCCGUGAGGUGUUCCGUUAAGUCGGGAAACGAACGAAACCCCUAUUGCAUGUUACAAUUUCUCAUGCAAGACUGCCCGGAUAUACUGGGAGGAAGGUGGGGAUGACGUCAGAUCUGCAUGGUCCUUAUACCCUGGGCGACACAGGCGCUACAAUGGCAGAGACAAAGGGUUGCAAAACCGCAAGGUGAAGCUAAUCCCAAAAACUUUGUCUAAGUUCGGAUUGAAGGCUGCAAUUCGCCUUCAUGAAGCUGGAAUCGCUAGUAAUCGUGAAUCAGCCACGUCACGGUGAAUAUGUUCCCGGAUCUUGUACUCACCGCCCGUCACACCAAGAGAGUUGGUAGCUCCCGAAGCGUCCCGUUUUAGCGGGGC